GCUGGGCGUGGAGGCUCACGCCUGUAAUCCUAGCACUUUGGGAGGCUGAGGCAGGUGGAUUACCUGAGCUCAGGAGUUCAAGACCAGCCUGGGCAACAUGGUGAAACCCUGUCUCUA
This is an unclassified non-coding RNA of Pongo abelii (Sumatran orangutan), 117 nucleotides long. It matches the Rfam family "Metazoan signal recognition particle RNA". From Rfam's summary of the family: The signal recognition particle (SRP) is a universally conserved ribonucleoprotein. The record is from Ensembl. Lineage: Eukaryota; Metazoa; Chordata; Mammalia; Primates; Hominidae.